RNAcentral lists this transfer RNA (76 nucleotides) under Treponema bryantii. RNAcentral's name for it is "tRNA_Glu_CTC". It matches the Rfam family "tRNA". Rfam says of the family: Transfer RNA (tRNA) molecules are approximately 80 nucleotides in length. Lineage: Bacteria; Pseudomonadati; Spirochaetota; Spirochaetia; Treponematales; Treponemataceae. The record is from RNAcentral.
GGUUCCUUCGAAUAUCGGUUUAGUUCGCGGCCCUCUCAAGGCUGAAAGGCGGGUUCGAUUCCCGCAGGAACCGCGA